This 433-nucleotide ribosomal RNA is filed under the name uncultured bacterium. RNAcentral describes it as "partial 16S ribosomal RNA". It matches the Rfam family "Bacterial small subunit ribosomal RNA", at positions 29 to 507 of the family's 1533-position model. The record is from RNAcentral.
AACGAACGCUGGCGGCAGGCCUAACACAUGCCAGUCGAGCGAGAUCUUCGGGUCUAGCGGCGGACGGGUGAGUAACGCGUGGGAAUAUGCCCUUCUCUGCGGAAUAGCCUCGGGAAACUGAGCGUAAUACCGCAUACGCCCUUUGGGGGAAAGAUUUAUCGGAGAAGGAUUAGCCCGCGUUGGAUUAGGUAGUUGGUGGGGUAACGGCCUACCAAGCCGACGAUCCAUAGCUGGUUUGAGAGGAUGAUCAGCCACACUGGGACUGAGACACGGCCCAGACUCCUACGGGAGGCAGCAGUGGGGAAUCUUAGACAAUGGGGGCAACCCUGAUCGAGCCAUGCCGCGUGAGUGAUGAAGGCCUUAGGGUUGUAAAGCUCUUUCAGCUGGGAAGAUAAUGACGGUACCAGCAGAAGAAGCCCCGGCUAACUCCGUG